CAAAUGCGAUAGUUAGUGUGAACUGCAGAUAUUCUGAGCACCAAAAUGUCGAAUGCACAUUGCGCCUUGGGACCUCCAUCCCUAGGCACGCCUGGUUCAGGGUCGUUUCUUCAAACAAAGAGCCGUUCCGCUCUUAGCAUGACCCGGCGCUAGCAGCCAAGCCGCAUGGCAGCUACGUGCCGGGCCUUCAGUGUUCUGUGCUGUGGACAGCUGCCGCUCAGGGGCAACACGGCCGGUCUUGCAAACACUUGUCUCCUUCACGGGGGGCAAUGACCGGUCGUGGGACUCUGCCUAGUGUCGGUGUCUGUCUGCCUCAUUCGUUUUCCGACCUGAACUCAGACGUGAUUACCCGCUGAACUUAA
Molecule: unclassified non-coding RNA, 362 nt
Filed under: uncultured fungus
Lineage: Eukaryota; Fungi
Description: sequence contains ITS1
Rfam family: 5.8S ribosomal RNA (bases 1-105)
Source: RNAcentral